RNAcentral lists this ribosomal RNA (257 nucleotides) under uncultured bacterium. RNAcentral describes it as "partial 16S ribosomal RNA". It matches the Rfam family "Bacterial small subunit ribosomal RNA", at positions 524 to 778 of the family's 1533-position model. The record is from RNAcentral.
UACGUAGGGUGCAAGCGUUGUCCGGAAUUAUUGGGCGUAAAGAGCUCGUAGGCGGUCUGUCACGUCGGCUGUGAAAACCCGAGGCUCAACCUCGGGCCUGCAGUCGAUACGGGCAAACUAGAGUACUGCAGGGGAGACUGGAAUUCCUGGUGUAGCGGUGAAAUGCGCAGAUAUCAGGAGGAACACCGGUGGCGAAGGCGGGUCUCUGGGCAGUAACUGACGCUGGAGGAGCGAAAGCGUGGGGGAGCGAACAGGGA